Molecule: ribosomal RNA, 249 nt
Filed under: uncultured bacterium
Lineage: Bacteria
Description: partial 16S ribosomal RNA
Rfam family: Bacterial small subunit ribosomal RNA
Source: RNAcentral
GCAAGUCGAGGGGCAGCAUUACUUUCGGGUAGAUGGCGACCGGCGCACGGGUGCGUAACGCGUAUGCAACCUACCUUAUACAGGAGGAUAGCCCAUGGAAACGUGGAUUAAUACUUCAUAGUAUCAUUUUUUCGCAUGGAAAAAUGAUUAAAACUUCGGUGGUAUAAGAUGGGCAUGCGUAGGAUUAGGUAGUUGGUGAGGUAACAGCUCACCAAGCCGACGAUCCUUAGGGGUUCUGAGAGGAUUAUC